GGAGCAUGUGGUUAAUUCGAAGCAACGCGAAGAACCUUACCAGGCCUUGACAUGCAGAGAACUUUCCAGAGAUGGAUUGGUGCCUUCGGGAACUCUGACACAGGUGCUGCAUGGCUGUCGUCAGCUCGUGUCGUGAGAUGUUGGGUUAAGUCCCGUAACGAGCGCAACCCUUGUCCUUAGUUACCAGCACGUUAUGGUGGGCACUCUAAGGAGACUGCCGGUGACAAACCGGAGGAAGGUGGGAUGACGUCAAGUCAUCAUGGCCCUUACGGCCUGGGCUACACACGUGCUACAAUGGUCGGUACAAAGGGUUGCCAAGCCGCGAGGUGGAGCUAAUCCCAUAAAACCGAUCGUAGUCCGGAUCGCAGUCUGCAACUCGACUGCGUGAAGUCGGAAUCGCUAGUAAUCGUGAAUCAGAAUGUCACGGUGAAUACGUUCCCGGGCCUU
This 447-nucleotide ribosomal RNA is filed under the name uncultured Pseudomonas sp. Its description in RNAcentral is "bacterial SSU rRNA". It matches the Rfam family "Bacterial small subunit ribosomal RNA", at positions 934 to 1382 of the family's 1533-position model. Lineage: Bacteria; Pseudomonadati; Pseudomonadota; Gammaproteobacteria; Pseudomonadales; Pseudomonadaceae. The record is from RNAcentral.